CCUACGGGAGGCAGCAGUAGGGAAUCUUCCACAAUGGGCGAAAGCCUGAUGGAGCAACGCCGCGUGGGUGAAGAAGGUCUUCGGAUCAUAAAACCCUGUUGUUAGAGAAGAAAGUGCGUGAGAGUAACUGUUCACGUUUCGACGGUAUCUAACCAGAAAGCCACGGCUAACUACGUGCCAGCAGCCGCGGUAAUACGUAGGUGGCAAGCGUUAUCCGGAUUUAUUGGGCGUAAAGGGAACGCAGGCGGUCUUUUAAGUCUGAUGUGAAAGCCUUCGGCUUAACCGGAGUAGUGCAUUGGAAACUGGGAGGCUUGAGUGCAGAAGAGGAGAGUGGAACUCCAUGUGUAGCGGUGAAAUGCGUAGAUAUAUGGAAGAACACCAGUGGCGAAAGCGGCUCUCUGGUCUGUAACUGACGCUGAGGUUCGAAAGCGUGGGUAGCAAACAGGAUUAGAUACCCCAGUAGUC
This 465-nucleotide ribosomal RNA is filed under the name uncultured bacterium. RNAcentral describes it as "partial 16S ribosomal RNA". It matches the Rfam family "Bacterial small subunit ribosomal RNA", at positions 338 to 795 of the family's 1533-position model. The record is from RNAcentral.